RNAcentral lists this unclassified non-coding RNA (254 nucleotides) under Glomeraceae sp. RNAcentral describes it as "partial contains 5.8S ribosomal RNA and internal transcribed spacer 2". The stretch from base 1 to 71 matches the Rfam family "5.8S ribosomal RNA", at positions 84 to 154 of the family's 154-position model. Lineage: Eukaryota; Fungi; Glomeromycota; Glomeromycetes; Glomerales; Glomeraceae. The record is from RNAcentral.
GUUAAUCAUCUAAUUUUUGAACGCAAAUUGCACUCCUUUGUAUUCCGGGGAGUAUGCCUGUUUGAGUAUCGUUAGAUGAAAAAUCGAAGCAACGCGCGUUUUUUUUAGGGUGAUCGCUUCUUAAUUGACCCGACGUGCAAAUGUUAAUUCAUGUCAAAGUGUCUUAAAAUUCAUCCAUCCGGUACGAUUAAAGCGUAUUAAAGAUCAAUUAUGAUUUUGAACGCGCGAUGUCGUACCAUCUCAUUUAGUACGUU